CCUACGGGAGGCAGCAGUGAGGAAUAUUGGUCAAUGGACGAAAGUCUGAACCAGCCAUGCCGCGUGCAGGAAGACGGCUCUAUGAGUUGUAAACUGCUUUUGUACAAGGGUAAACCUGAAUACGUGUAUUCAGCUGAAAGUAUUGUACGAAUAAGGAUCGGCUAACUCCGUGCAAGCAGCCGCGGUAAUACGGAGGAUCCAAGCGUUAUCCGGAUUUAUUGGGUUUAAAGUGUGCGUAGGCGGCUUGAUAAGUUAGAGGUGAAAUGUGCGGGCUCAACUCGGGAACUGCCUCUGAUACUGUUGUUCUAGAGAGUAGAUGAGGUAGGCGGAAUGUAUGGUGUAGCGGUGAAAUGCUUAGAGAUCAUACAGAACACCGAUUGCGAAGGCAGCUUACCAAUCUAUAUCUGACGUUGAGGCACGAAAGCGUGGGGAGCAAACAGGAUUAGAUACCCCUGUAGUC
This 460-nucleotide ribosomal RNA is filed under the name uncultured bacterium. Its description in RNAcentral is "partial 16S ribosomal RNA". It matches the Rfam family "Bacterial small subunit ribosomal RNA", at positions 338 to 795 of the family's 1533-position model. The record is from RNAcentral.